This 211-nucleotide ribosomal RNA is filed under the name uncultured Microbacterium sp. RNAcentral's name for it is "partial 16S ribosomal RNA". It matches the Rfam family "Bacterial small subunit ribosomal RNA", at positions 902 to 1113 of the family's 1533-position model. The record is from RNAcentral. Lineage: Bacteria; Bacillati; Actinomycetota; Actinomycetes; Micrococcales; Microbacteriaceae.
CAAAGGAAUUGACGGGGACCCGCACAAGCGGCGGAGCAUGCGGAUUAAUUCGAUGCAACGCGAAGAACCUUACCAAGGCUUGACAUAUACGAGAACGGGCCAGAAAUGGUCAACUCUUUGGACACUCGUAAACAGGUGGUGCAUGGUUGUCGUCAGCUCGUGUCGUGAGAUGUUGGGUUAAGUCCCGCAACGAGCGCAACCCUCGUUCUAU